CCUACGGGGUGCAGCAGUGAGGAAUAUUGGUCAAUGGGCGCGAGCCUGAACCAGCCAAGUCGCGUGAGGGAAGACGGUCCUAUGGAUUGUAAACCUCUUUUGUCGGGGAGCAAAAGACGCCACGCGUGGCGGUCCGAGAGUACCCGAAGAAAAAGCAUCGGCUAACUCCGGUCCAGCAGCCGCGGUAAUACGGAGGAUGCGAGCGUUGUCCGGAUUUAUUGGGUUGAAAGGGGGCGCAGGCGGAAGAUCAAGUCAGCGGUAAAAUUGAGAGGCUCAACCUCUUCGAGCCGUUGAAACUGGUUUUCUUGAGUGAGCGAGAAGUAUGCGGAAUGCGGGGUGUAGCGGUGAAAUGCAUAGAUAUCACGCAGAACUCCGAUUGCGAAGGCAGCAUACCGGCGCUCAACUGACGCUCAUGCACGAAAGUGUGGGUAUCGAACAGGAUUAGAUACCCCUGUAGUC
Molecule: ribosomal RNA, 459 nt
Filed under: uncultured bacterium
Lineage: Bacteria
Description: partial 16S ribosomal RNA
Rfam family: Bacterial small subunit ribosomal RNA
Source: RNAcentral